This 96-nucleotide transfer RNA is filed under the name Pseudomonadales bacterium. RNAcentral's name for it is "tRNA-OTHER". It matches the Rfam family "tRNA". Rfam says of the family: Transfer RNA (tRNA) molecules are approximately 80 nucleotides in length. Their secondary structure includes four short double-helical elements and three loops (D, anti-codon, and T loops). Lineage: Bacteria; Pseudomonadati; Pseudomonadota; Gammaproteobacteria; Pseudomonadales. The record is from RNAcentral.
GGCGUGCGUAUGUGGUUGAUAUAUAUGUAGCCCCUCAAGGAGGCUACUGCCUUCACACGGCAGGGGUCGCUGGUUCAAAUCCAGCCGCACCCACCA